UUGAUCUAUUCUUGCAGGUUGUGAUCGUCCGUCGUUUGUUCGUUUACGAUUCCGUCCGCGUGCCAUUUUCUAAUGGAAUAUUUUCUAAAGGAAUAAAUAAAAUAAAAUUAUUCUGCUUGAAAAAAAAAUGAAAGUAUAAAACAUUCAUCUUCAGAAUUGAAAUUUUCUGUUUCAUCUUCGACAUAACUCUCACUCUCUUCAUGUAAAGUGGGUUCAGGUUUGAAUGAAACAACAUCAAACGAGCCAACCACAUUUAGAGAUACAUUAUCAAUGUUAUUAUCAUCAACAAGAUUUAAAGGGAACUCAUUAAAGUCAUCUUGAUAUGUAUCUCCCUCUUCCUCUGGAAUGUCAAAACGAUCUCUAGCUUUUGUUCGGAUGACAAAUUGCCAAUCUUUAUUCUUUUGGGAGACAUUUGGUGCGUAGAAAACUUGCUCUGCUUGUUGAGAUAGAACAAAGGGUUCAUAUGCUCUAAGUUUAGUAUGUAUGUUAAUCGAUACAUUUUUCGAACGGUCAAUUUUCAUUCCUUUGUGGAUGUCGUACCAAUCACAUUUGAACAUAACUACUCGAGUCAUAUCUCCAAGGAAAUCCAAUUCGAUAAUAUCAAGAAGAACUCCAUAGUAGUUAUUUUCCUUUAGACCUUCGUAUGCACUUCCCUUUAUCAUCACUCCAGAGUUUUGAGUUUUUUUUAAAAUAUCCUCACUCUUUAUGUGAAAUCUAAAUCCAUUGAUAAUGUAACUCUUGUAGCACGUCACUUCUCGAUUUGGGCCUUUUGAGAGAACACGCAAACGCUCAUCUUCUUCUAUCGGUUUCAAGCGAUUUUUGAACCAACCAUAGAAUAAAGAAUCUGUUUUUUGAUGAAGUUCCUCAUCGCUAAGGUUCACAUAUUGUUCCUCAAACUCCCUUAAAUAUGGUACGAUUUCAUCACAAUUAAGUAGUAGAUAUGUAAUUGAAGCAAGGUACUCUUUGUCAUCUAAGUAUCGUUUUUUACCACCACCAAGAGCACAACCAGGUUGUGAAAAUAUGGAUAAACGACCAACCGGUUCAACUAUACCUCCAUCAAAGUUUCAAGAUUUUUUAUUAUAUUUUGUUUGAAAGUUAUCAUCGAAAUACAUUGAAGUAAAGUUCCCUAUUUCUUCAGCAAUAUAUGCUUCAGCAAUGGACCCUUAAACGAAAGCCUUGUUUCGUACUUUUUUCUUUAAAAAAUACAUAAACCUGAAGAUAGAUAAUCUCAUUUAAAGUUUUAUAAUAAACAUUAUUUAGAAAAUUUAUUUUGUAUGAUUUACCUCUCAUACGGGUACAUCCAUCUGUGUUGUACGGGUCUACCGACUUGUGCCUCAUACGGAAGAUGUAUCAACAUAUGCUCCAUUGAAUCAAAAAAAGGAGGAAAAAUCUUCUCUAAUCUACACAUAGUCUCGACAAUGGAUUUUCCAAGUGCUCUCAUUUCAGAUUCUUUCAAAGUAGGGGAACAAAUUUUACUAAAGAAUUGGCUAACUUCUGUUAAUACUUCAUUAAUUUCUUUAGCUAGGUAACAAAUCGAUGAAAGCAAUUGGUAAUAAUCUUUGCAUGAACACAUGACAGUCAUGAAACUUCAUACCUUAGAAUUUGCAAUCUUCGACGCUUGCACAUCUAGAUAUAUUUGAAACAUAACCAUCAGGGAAACGCAAUGUCUUCACCCAUUCACAAACUUUCUUGAUUUGAUCCUUCUCAAGAGCAUAAGAGGCCUUAGGAAUAAAUAUUUUGUCGUCACAAAUUUGUGGGUGCAAGCUAUGUCUAAUACGCAUAUCUUGAAGGUCUUUCCGAGCAUUUAAAUGGUCCUUGGUCUUGCCUUUGACAUUCAUAACUGUAUUGAAAAUGUUAUCAAAAACAUUUUUCUCAACAUGCAUGACAUUCACAUUAUGACGUAUUAAUAAUGAACUCCAAUAAGGUAAUUCAAAAAAAAUACUUCUCUUUGUCCAAUUAUGUGUUUUCCCGAAAUUGGAUUCUUUUACCUUGUGCGACAAUCCAAAAAUCACUUCAUCCGGAGAAAGGAUGUGAGAUUCUAAUUCAUAUCCUGUAAGACGUUCAAUCGUAACAUUUUUUUCAAUCCUUCUACUAAAUUUAUCCUUCUGUCGCCGAUAUUGAUGAUUUGCCGAAAGAAAUUGACGAUGACAAUCAAAAAAACAUAUCUUUCUACUAUUUUUGAGAUAAAAUGCUUUGUUGUUUCUCAUACAAUAUGGACAUGCUAAUUUUCCAUGAGUACUCCAACCGGACAACAUUGCAUAAGCUGGGAAGUCUGAAAUAGUCCACAAAAGUGCCGCUUUCAUUAAGAAAUUUUGUUUUUUAAAUGCAUCGUAUGUCUCGAUCCCGUCAUUCCAUAAAAUUUUCAAUUCAUCAAUCAAAGGGGAUAGAUAAAUGUCAAUUUCUUUCUUUGGACUGUGAGGAUCGGGGAUCAAAAUAGUCAAGAACAUGAAUGGUUGUGUGUUGCAUAUCCACGGUGGAAGGUUGUAUGGGGUAACGAUAACUGACCAACAUGAGUACGGCACGCUCGAAUGACCAAAUGGAUUAAAUCCAUUAGUGGACAAACCACGUCUCACAUUUCGAAUAUCUGCGGCAAAACUUUCGUGAGUAUGAUCAAAAUAUUUCCAAGCUUCACCAUCGGCUGGAUGUCUAACUUCAUUAUCGAUAUCUUUCCGACAUUGACUGUGCCAAAUCAUUUCCUUUGCAGUAUUUGAACAGUGGUAUAACCGUUGAAGUCGGGGUAUCAAAGGAAAGUAUCUUAAAAUUUUAAAUGGUAUUUUUUGACCAGUAGAAGUUAUUGUCUUGUACCUAGGGUGUCUGCAUGUCGGACACUCAGUUAUGUUUUGAUGGUCCUUGCGAUAUAUAUAAGAUGCAGUUAUUCUGACAUGCAUCUAUUUUUUCAUAUUUCAUCCCAAGUUUAUUCAAUUUUUGCUUUAUUUUAUAAUACGAAUUUGGAAGAUUAUUCACUUCUGGUAAGGAUGAACCCCAUAAUUCCAAAAUUGUAUCAAUGGUAACUUCAUGUAUUCCAUAUGUUGAUUUGAUGCACAUAAUUUUUGACAACACCUCUAGAGUUUUAACUUUACAUCCAUCAUACAAUUUCUGAUUUGCACUCUCUAACAAAUUGUAAAUAUUUUGGGCAUCAACAUUGGGUAAUUCAGUACGAUGGUCAUCGAUAACGAAGGGUCUACUUGCAUCAUGAACCAUAUUGACUAUUGGAUUGUUACUACUAGAUCCAACUUCAAAGGUAGUAUGGCCGUAUUCUUCGAAAAUUUCUAUCCGUGUUUUUUUUCUUGAGCUAUCGAUUUCACCAUGUUGAUGCCAAAUAGAAUAAUCAGACAUGAACCCGUUUUUGUAAAGGUGAAUACCCACUUCAUCUAUCGAAAAAUAAAAUGAACAACAAGUAAAGCAAGGGCACUUUAUUCUUUCACAUCCAAGUGUUUCUCUUGCAAAUUUCAAGAAAUGAGGGACGCCAUUGCCAAAUUCCACCGUUAGAUGACCCUUUGAAUCUUGCCGGUUAUACAUCCAAGUUCGAUCAUCAUCGGUCAUUCUAAGAAUUUUAAACCGAUACAAUUAGGUAACCGUUACAUUGGAUAUCGUAUUUUCAUUAUAAGGAAAAAAGCCUGAUUUUAGUUAAUAUAGAGAUGAGUCUGAUUUUAGUUAAUUAUAAAGAGAAAAAUCCUUAUAAUUCAAUUUCAAUUAUAAGGAGACAAACUAAAAAUAUAUAUUUUCAAUUUCAAGUGUCAUUAAACUUUAAAAACUGAUUGUAAUUCAUUUAUAAGAAAUCAUUUUAUUUUUCGCUUCAUUUAUAAGAAAUCAUUUAUAGAUCCCAAUAUAAGAAAUCAUUUAUAAGAAGUCAUAUAAGAAAUCAUUUAUAAGAAAUCAUUUUAUUGUAAAUCAUUUAUAAGAAAUCAUUUAAAAACUGAUUGGUUCUAUAGAUCCCAAUAUAUUACAGCUAGGGCUGAGGGAUUCGGUGAGAUGGUGAUCAACGUUGAUUUUGAAUAUAUUAAAGCAAACCGGAGGGGGAAGCUUUAAGUGAAAGCAAGGCACACAACUCACACACAACGUGUGAUCAUUACUUGGGCAUGUGCCAUAGUGGCAGCCAUCAAAACAGCAUCAAAAUCAGGAACCUGAACAUAAGUAUUUUGGGUUCAAAUCUAUCUAAAAUCCCAAUAUACCAUAUGCUCAUAAAUUAAUCGAUUGUUUUGCAUUUCAGAGGAUGAGAUUAUCUGAUCAUGCCAUCAUAAGAUUCAAGAAUUAAAUUAUAUUAAAUAAUAUAAUCACUUUCAUGAUUCCAAAAAGAGAAUGAAAAUUGUCUCUCAAUCUUUAGGAGUUCCAGAUGCUGCUGCUUUCAAUUCAAUUGAUUCAUCCCUUAAUGACAACUGUUUUUUGAAUAAAUGGCCAUCUGCCCCAAAGAUUCAGAGGUUGCGAACAUACACAAAGGUUUGCGACUGUGUUUUUAACUGUGUUGCUACCAAGUUUUUUUAUUUUUAAAUUCAAGAUGUGUUUUUAGGUAUAUAAGCGGGGAGCUGUUGGGAGGUCGAUAGAUAUAUCUCGAUACUCUGGCUACAAUGAGCUGAAACAAGAUCUCAGUCGGAUGUUCAGCAUCAAAAGGGGGGCAACAUAACCACAUUCCUUUAAUAAAUAAAGCAGAACAAAGAAUAAGCAAACGUAAACAGAGGACCAGUGGUUACCUGUUAUUUCCCUUGACCGAUCUUUGUCUUUAUCUUCCUCCCAACCAGAACCGGAGUUUUGCUUGCGAAGUUGCAGAGACGGUUGUCGCUCUGACCUGGAAGUCUGACCUGGAAGUUGUCGGAAUGGACAGAAACGCUCUCGCCGGUUGUCGCUGGUCGCCGCUCGCCGAUUGUCAGAAGUUGAAAUCGCCACUGGUCAGAAAUGAGAAACGGGAGUGGUAGAAAAACU
Molecule: long non-coding RNA, 4917 nt
Filed under: Zostera marina
Lineage: Eukaryota; Viridiplantae; Streptophyta; Magnoliopsida; Alismatales; Zosteraceae
Description: long non-coding RNA (ZMAR_LNC003337)
Source: RNAcentral